UGCAUUGCAUCCAUGAGCAUCAUGCCACAAUUGCAUGUUUGAGUUCAAAUUUUGAAUCACAAAAGGCUUUAAGAGAUUUUGUUUACAUCCCUGUAACCUUUGGAUUUUCAAACCAAUAGGGUUGAUGUAUAAAAGGGUUUAAUGCAUAUAUAAGCUAUCCCAUAAUUUUUGGUUAACUAUUUGGAGUUGAAAAAGUAUUUUAUUCAAACAGAUAUAUAGCCCUAAAGUCAUUUAUAGGGCAAAUGUAUUUUUACAUAUUUUAUUUUGAAGAGAAACUACUUCCAAAAGUUGUAUCUUGGUAGAACAUGAUUUUACAAAUUUUCUGGAAUUUGUUUGGACCAAUUUGGAGUUCAAACACAAAAGAUAUCAAAGAAAUGAGAAAAGCAGAAAAAGAAAAGGCCUAAAAGAAAAAAAAAGGGGUAAACCAGACCGGCCCGGCCAAAAUGGGCCGAACCGGCCCAGUCCGACCGUGCCCGACCGGCCCAGACCACCCAGUCCGUGCGCGCGCGCCCACAGUCGCUGACGGGUCCACCUGUCAGCUGCGUCUUCCCCGAAGGAAAGCGCCGCCGGUCACGCGCGCGAUUUCCGGCCGCCGUCCCCGCGCGCCCGCCGCCGCAAUCUCCUCCUCCGGCCUUCCAUUUUCACGCCCGAGCACGCCUUUAUAACCCCCGCGACCUCCUCUCUCUUUCCCCCUUGUUUCCCCAUCCAAUCGCACCGCCAGGCUGCCCCGAUUUCUCGCCGGAGCCCGACCGCGCCGCUCGCCCGUCUUCGUCCUCGGCGCCGACCCCGCCGUCCCCGACCGCGCCCCGUCUCCGCCGUGCCGCGCCGCACCUCCCCGUGUCUUCCCCG
Molecule: long non-coding RNA, 849 nt
Filed under: Brachypodium distachyon (stiff brome)
Lineage: Eukaryota; Viridiplantae; Streptophyta; Magnoliopsida; Poales; Poaceae
Description: long non-coding RNA (BDIS_LNC003574)
Source: RNAcentral